RNAcentral lists this ribosomal RNA (497 nucleotides) under uncultured bacterium. RNAcentral's name for it is "partial 16S ribosomal RNA". It matches the Rfam family "Bacterial small subunit ribosomal RNA", at positions 28 to 507 of the family's 1533-position model. The record is from RNAcentral.
GAUGAACGCUGGCGGCGUGCCUAAUACAUGCAAGUCGAGCGAACGGACGAGAAGCUUGCUUCUCUGAUGUUAGCGGCGGACGGGUGAGUAACACGUGGAUAACCUACCUAUAAGACUGGGAUAACUUCGGGAAACCGGAGCUAAUACCGGAUAAUAUUUUGAACCGCAUGGUUCAAAAGUGAAAGACGGUCUUGCUGUCACUUAUAGAUGGAUCCGCGCUGCAUUAGCUAGUUGGUAAGGUAACGGCUUACCAAGGCAACGAUGCAUAGCCGACCUGAGAGGGUGAUCGGCCACAUGAGAACGGAGACACGGACCAGAGUCCUACGGGAGGCAGCAGUAGGGAAUCUGACGCAAUGGGCGAAAGCCUGACGGAGCAACGCCGCGUGAGUGAUGAAGGUCUUCGGAUCGUAAAACUCUGUUAUUAGGGAAGAACAGAUGUGUAAGUAACUGUGCACAGCUUGACGGUACCUAAUCAGAAAGCCACGGCUAACUACGUG